CACACACAUGUCAACUACAGCUUUGGACGCCCCCGGAAAAUAAAAUUGGGCCUUUUGGUCUUAGCCCAUUUAGGUUUUGAUUGUGGAUUAGGACCGAUUGGAAAAAAAAAACUCGAAAUUUAUAUUUCAAUUUUUUUAAAAAAAAUUUUAAAAAUAUAUCUCUGCCCAUUUAGGUUUAAAAAAAAAUAUUUAUCAAUUUUAAUCUUGUCUUUGAAAAUAUAUAUAACUAGUGGUUGUCUGGAAAAUUAUAAUGAAAAUUAUUUUAUAUAAAUAUAUAUAAUAAAUAUAUAUAUUAAUAUAUGAAACAAUUUAAAAAAAGUAUGUGUCAAUAGAAAAAUGAUAUUACAAACAUAUGUAUGAUUAAUUAGUUUAUAUAUAAAUGGUGCAGAGGAGACGUAUCAAGCAAAAAGAAAAGGUGGAGCGAGAAGAAUGAUGAUAUACAUGCCACCUAGCUUUUCUGGCCGUGCUUCCGGUCGCGGUCGUGGUUGGACCAUGUCGACCAAACCAUGAACUACCGAUUACUUCAUUUUAAUUACAGCUACAUAUGUUGAAUGUUUUAUCUCUAGCAAUUUGUAUAUUCUCCAUUUAUUCUUAACCGUGUUUUGUCCGAUUAGUAACUUAAGCAAUAAAAUUGCUCUUAGUGAAUUUAUUUUAUAUAGAAAGUUAAAAUCACUAAGACUUGAUGUUCAAUAGUAACCAACAAAAUACAGAACUUGUUCCUUUCUCCUCUCUCUGGUUGUCUUCUUGUCCGAGAUUUUACUUAAAUGUGCCAUAAGAUGCAUGAACGACAAAGCCGAAGAUGGCUGCUUCCCCUGGAUGCUGAAUAGAAUUGUCUCAUAGCCGAAGAGCUAUCUCCUCACAGGUGGCGCGCCUCCCCUUCCUCCUGUUCCAUGCCCAAGUACCCUGAGCACUGAUGACAUGACCAAUAUUGAAUUAGUUGCUUUAAAUUUCCAAAACAUUUGUUUAUUGACAAGAGAUAUAAAGAAUAUUCUGAUAUAGCUGUUGGAGAAGAAUUAAAUAGAUGCUCCGGGAAUCGAAGACCUCUGCAUGUUCAGUAUUAGAGGCUCCUCCUCUGCAUGUUUAGUAUUUCAAAUUAGAGGUUCCACUUUCUGUAGUAUAAAUAUAUGUAACCCUGUUAUGAAUAAUUAUAAUCUAAGGGAAUUCAUUUUCUUCCAAGUUACUUUCUCUCUUAGUCUCAACUCUCUUUCUCUGUUUCUUGUUAAGGAAUUAUAACUUUCAUUGCACCCAUAGUUGUUAGUGAUCAUGGUAUCCAAGUACGAAGAAAUCUCAGUUCCUGCUGUUAAUGAUCUCAUCUUGGUCUCAGACAAGGUUUACACUGUGAGAGAAGUUCUUGACAUGGAGAAGUUAAUGGCGAAUUACUUUGCGAUUCAAUUUCUGUUUGCCAACUCCAUACGUGUUCAUGAGGAGGUUUCUCAAAGCUGCACAAUCUGACCAAGAGAUUUUAUUGAGCUUCUAUCAUUCUUCAUCAUCAAGCUCAGCUUAGUAGAGUACGAGAUAUGAUGCUUCAUUACGCUCCGUCUCAAAUCGACAAGAGAUCAAUGGUGAUUCAAGAAACGACUCAGAGAGAGAGAGAGAGAGAGAGAGAGCUUUGGCUGAAGCGGAAUCUCUGGUUGAGAAAGAACUAGAAGGAGCCAUCAGAGAGAUUGUAGAAGUAGAGUAUGAGUGACCGAGUAACCUAUCGUGAUAUGGGGAUCAUGGAAGAGGUUCUCAAUCAACGCCAAAAACAGGUGUGCUGGGCCAUCAGCCUAACAAGACAGCUAGCAGCACUGCUCAAACUUCGUGGACAACUAAAUAUCAAUGCAAGCCUGUCGAUUCAGUAUUUGAUUAACAAAGUAGGGAGUUCACUUUUUGGAGCACAAAUGCUGAGGCCAUGGAAUGGGUCCGUGAGGUCGUUGCAAACAGCUAUCCCAUUCCUGGUCAAUGGGACAGUAUUGGAGAAUCUUGUUCCUCUGCGACAAUUCGACCUACAGAGUUCAACUCCAGAAAAUCAUGUUCUUGGAGAGCGACGUUACAGAGCUGUAUGUAUUGUUGUACACCACAUCGACGAAUAUCGAGGUAUUGUUUAUUCUUGGCCCAGUUAAACCCAACGAGUUUUUUUAAAGACACAUUAAUAUCAGCUUUUUUUUUUUUGAAAUGAAAAUAUAAACAUUAAAGGUAGACGAAAGCAACAAAUUAACAAAAUAGAGAUUUAAGCUUUAUACAAGAACUAUAAAGCUAGAGAGAGAGACUAAAGCAUGAACUUAGAUAAAAGACAAAAACCGACCUUAAGAAUAGAGUUUAACCUUCAAACCUGCAACAACAAACACGAAGCUUUUAAUUAAAGGGAGUAGAGGCGAAAAGAAAAACAAAAGAAGAAAAAAAACCCACCAAGAAGAUGAAGAAACAGCGACCCGAAGUGUGUAAGAGAUGUGUUUGAGGAGAAUCGGAGAAGAUAUGAAGUGACAGAAACACAAAGCUUGUAGGGUUUUUUCUGUCUUUGAGGAGAAUCGGAGAAGAUACGAAGUGACAGAAACACAAAGCUUGUAGGGUUUUUCUGUAUUUGAGGAGAAUCAGAGAGAUAUGAAGUGACAGAGACCCCUAUAUAUAUAUUGUGAGAGUCAAGAGAGGGUGUUGUGUACUGUUAGGGUUUUGUUGUCUUUGGUUACCACACAACAGGACAAAGCUCAUGAACUUUUUUUAAAAAAAAAUUGUAGUUUUGGUUUCUUUGUCAGUGUGAAACUCAUAUCCCUCGAAUUGUCUCAUGACCAUUUCGUUUUGAAUAAUUUAAAAUUUAUUUUAUGUUUUUGAUUAAAAAAAAAUGAGAAAAAAGAAACAGCUUUAUCUUGUACUUGUACUGUACUGAUACUUGCAGAGAGGAGAGAGGGAAAAGUUUUUUUGUUUUAACCCUGGUGAAAAAGUUCUUUUAAAAAAACAUUAAGGAAAAUAUGUAGAAUUGGUAUAAAAAAGGGAAAACAAACAUCUCUAGGAAAAUAGGCAAGCAUUCUUGUGUCGUCUUAUGCAAAUAUUGAAACUUGUUGCUAUUCGUGUUGUAGACACCAAGGCGAACAAAAGCUGCCACUAAUACGACGUCGUUACUCAGGAACAAGAGAGGUUUUGCAUAUGUAUGUAUUAUCCCUGUGAGCUGCACAUCUUUUCAUUAGCCCACACGAUUUUUCUUGAACUGUUGUAACUCAUAUCCUCCUCUCGAAAUUCGAACAAAGUAGAGCUAACUUUACUUCUUAGCUGAUCAAAUCUAGAGAAGAACCGUCGCUUAUUACAACUUACUGGCAAUGGAAAGAAAGACCAAGUUUCGGUUUUGCAUACAUAACUGAAUCUCACAUUAUUUUUCCCAGCUAACCAAUGCCAGAAACCGUACAAUGAUUGUGGUUUUCCGAAAAAACUCGCCACUUGGUACGUAGUUCUAAAUAAUCCAAUCGCUUCCACGCGUAAGUAUCAGAAUCAAAAACCUCACAGUUGAGAUUAUAGAAGCCCUGAUCACUCGUCUUCCUUCUUUCUCACGAUAGUGGUUCAGAAACCCGUAAUGAUCUUAUAUCGACUGAAUCACCAUCAAACCAAUUGCAAUAGUAAAAAGUACCGGGUUUUCGGGUUUGGUAUUAUCCGAUAUUGUUCUGGAGUCGGUUAUUUUCUGUAAUGUAAAUUUGAAUGUCUUUUUUUUUUCCUGUAACGGCCCACGCUCAUGCCGCGCGCCUCCUACUACCUCACUUUCUGGUCUCUACCACCGUACAACACGGCCAGCUCCAUCGCAAGACUCCUCAACGCCUCCGCCACAGAGAUUCAGUCCAUCAACAACCUCACCUCCCUAAACCGCCACAAUCCCCACCCGUCGCUUAGUCGUCAUCCCGACCACCUGCUCCUGCUCCGGCGGUGGCCUUUACAGGUUCCACGAGCUUCGAACAAGAUCAACGGCGACAACGCAAGGUGAUCAAAGGAGACGUCUCUUCCUCUGAGAUCAGUCUCUUGAAGAAGCUGAACCAUUCCAACAUCAUCCGUCUCUCGAAGAACGGAUCGGUCAGAGAGAGACUGGCUUCACUCGUCGAACAAGAAGAAGGCUCUGACAUGGAGACAGAGAGUGGAGAUCUGUCGGAAGGCGUUGGGCUACUUGCACAACUACGUGACGCCGCCUCAUAUCCACAAGAACUUGGAAGGUGACGUUGAUCUUUAGUUGACCAGACAUAUCCAAGGAACGCAAGGCUACUUAGAGCACGUCCAACGCAUGAUUUAAGGGGGUCCUUAGCCAUAAUCUCUUCCAUUCGCCGAUUAAAAAACUAUUAAAAUAACCCCUAAAGCUAAGGAUUAAUCCUAAGUUAAGGAUUAGUCCGCUCGGGUCCAUAAUGCGCUGGCAGGCUCUGAUUGGCUGAGAGGGCGAUGAUGUUUCGUGUGGGAAGAGAAAGAAAGACGCAUCGUCUUUCACUUUGUCGAGGCAAGAAAAAAAAAACCCGAGACGCGACAAAGAGGCGAUAGAGAGGCGAGUCACGACCGGCCUUUUGGAAGGUAAUCCGACCUCUCCUUCUUUUUGAUUUCGUUCAGUGGUUGUUUCUUAUCAAUUUCAUCGGUUUAAAGGGUUCGAUUAUGGCGUUAAACCGAUUUAGGGUUUGAAAUUAUUUUGGGGAUUUCAAUCGAAUUAGGGUUUUCGUCGGGGGUUUCUAUUUUCUUCUUCUGUUGGUGAUGGUUUGAUGUUGUCGAGGCGAUUAGAGGUUGGGGAUUGAGAAAACCCAAAUUGUUCAAAUCGAAUUAGGGUUUUCUUUAAAAGUUUGGUUUUAACAGCGACCAGAACAUGAAGUUCACAUCAAAAAUCGGGCAAAGUGAAAACGACGUCAUGAAGGCAGCCUUGGAUAUCUUCAACAGCGACCAGAACAUGAAGUUCACCUUAGAACACGCGUGGAGGGAGCUUAGGCAUGAUGUUAAGUGGUGCUCCACUUAUAUGGAGAAGGACAAGGAUAAGCGGAAGGCUCCUGAAGUGCCUGUGCCAGAGCCAGAAGAUAGACCAGUUGGUGUCAAGGCUGCUAAGGCCGCGGGUAAGAGGCAAAAAACUAGAAAAGAUGAGGAGUUCUCGCAGCUAGAAGGACUUAUGGAGAUGAAAAAGCAAAUCUCAAGGCAAAGUUUGCUGGAGAGGUUGCUUGCAAAGCCGGAGCCCCUCGAUGAGAUGGAAUCAGCUCUCAAAAAUAAAUUGUUGUCUUAAUUGUUGUCAUGAGUGAUGGUUUGUUUAGCUUUUGCUUGCAUUAUAGUUUUGAUAGCAUUGUUUACUUUGUUGUGAUAUGAACUGUUGACUGAUAUGAAAUGCUUUGUUUCAGGUGGAGUACAAGAGACGAGGUCACGGGUUGUCAAGAGUACAAGAGAAGAGGUCACGGGUUGUCUACUAGUUUCACGGGUUCAUGUAUGUUUUUCCUUGCGGAUGUGAACCAAGACAAGAAGUUCACGGGUGUUGUCUUUAUAUCUUCAAGUGUUGUCUUUAUAACUUAGUGUAUGUAUGUUUUUCCUUUCAUGUCUGAACUUGAACCAUCUAUGUAUCAAACUACUAUCAUGAAAUGCAGUUUCUCUUCUUCUUGUUGAUCGCAUCAAUUUGUCAAACACAAAAGACCAUAAGUUAACAAGCAUCAAUAUACAACAAGUUGACGCAACCAAGAAGCAAGUUAAUCCCAAGUUGAUCGCAUCAAGUUGAUGCAACCAAGAAGCAACAAGCAAGUAACAAGCAUCAAUAUACAACAAGUUAAUCCCUUAACUUAAACAUAUUAACGUCCUCGAUCGAUCUCCUGUUUUUGAUGACAUUUUCGAAGGUAGAGCUCCAAGGGUACAAUACCAGGUCAACGGACACCAUUAUGGAUUGCCUUACUACCUCAGAGACGGUAUAUAUCCAAGAUGGUCAACAUUUAUCCAAUCUAUCUCAAACCCUCAAAGUCCAGAAGAACAGUUAUUUGCUAAAGUACAAGAGUCAACCCGAAAAGACGUGGAGCGUGCUUUUGGAGUAUUGCAAGCUCGAUUUGCAAUAAUCAAAAACCCGGCUAUUUUGUGGGACAAGAGACAAAUCGGGAUGGUUAUGCGAACAUGUAUCAUACUGCACAAUAUGAUCGUAGAAAAUGAACGCAAUGGAUAUACUCAGUGUGAUAUAUCAGAGUUUGAGGAAGGCGAAUCGAGUAGAACUUCAGAGGUGGAUAUGUCAUAUGCUCGCAAGCCUUCAAAUCUUCGUGCUAUGCUUGAAAUUCGUAGCCAAGUUCGUGACCAACAUAUACAUGAACAACUUAAAUUUGAUUUGAUUCAAAAUAUUUGGAACAAAUUUAAUGAUGAAAAUGUUUGAUAGUUGUAUGUUUU
Molecule: long non-coding RNA, 6327 nt
Organism: Brassica napus (rape)
Lineage: Eukaryota; Viridiplantae; Streptophyta; Magnoliopsida; Brassicales; Brassicaceae
Exons: 5
Source: RefSeq, a predicted model, not a curated record